UCACAGAGGCAUGUUUUCAGUUAGUUAGUUCCUGGUCCUCAGAAAAGAUUUUAUAAUGCCUUUCUAGCCAUCUAAGGCUUUAUGAGCAUUAACUAUGGCAUUAUCCAGUCUAUACUGCGUUAUUUUGUUUUGCCUUUCUACUUUCACAGGAGGUAGCAAGUUUAAACCAAGAUAGAAUGUUUAAAAUCAUUGACAGUUGUCUUAAUUAACUAAAUGUUGCCAUACAUGCUGUUGGAAACAAUUGCACUGUAUAAAAGCAAUGAAAGUGAGCGUUCUUUUGGGGGAGAAUGUCUGCUGCUGUACUUGAGCGUCACGAGUCCUCCUUUAACUACGUAAGCCACGCCCAACCGUCGAUGCGGCUUUGCACAUCUGAAUACAAUGAACAUUAAUUAUGACCACUGCAGCUUCCGACGCACCACCAGCAAAAACACAGUAAAAUUAUUAAGACACUAUUUUAACAUUAAUUUAACUUUAAUUUAUUUUAUAUAUUUUUAAAAUAUUUUUAUUAUAUUAUUAUUUUACUAUUUUUGUUCAGUAUGUCAGUGAUGCUCCGGCUUGUCUGUUGUUUUGUGUACGUCAGCAAGUUGUGCUGUUAUUGGAUGGCGUUGUUAUUCCAUAUUCGGAAGUCUUCGUAUGGAACUGAACUCUGGGUCUUAAUUGAACCGUGUUUGCACCUGCGAAAAUAUCCAUCAUUAAAAACGGAGUCGCUGUCGGUAACGUUCAACAAGGGGAUACAUAUCUAGUGCAGCAGACCUACCCUGUGAGGCUCAUCUGAAUUCCUAUGAACUGGUGACACUAAAUGCUGAU
Long non-coding RNA from Cynoglossus semilaevis (tongue sole), 807 nucleotides. RefSeq lists it as uncharacterized. The transcript is spliced from 3 exons. The record is from RefSeq and is a predicted model, not a curated record. Lineage: Eukaryota; Metazoa; Chordata; Actinopteri; Pleuronectiformes; Cynoglossidae.